Gasterosteus aculeatus aculeatus (three-spined stickleback) is the source of this 691-nucleotide long non-coding RNA. The record is from Ensembl. NCBI's taxonomy places the organism in Eukaryota, Metazoa, Chordata, Actinopteri, Perciformes, Gasterosteidae.
GGAGGGCCUUGGAACGGGGAGUUGGGGUUGCACACCUGUGCCAAUUAGUAGGUCAGGGGAAGACAAAGGAUGAGCCCUUGACAGAGUUUGGGGUUUUUCUUUGGAAUCGAAUGUUGGAGUUGUUUAUCCAAAGAUAAAGAAUGCGCAUACCGGAAUAAACAGAACAGCAUAUUGAAACCCCUGAGGCAUCCGAAGUGACUUAUUGGAAGGCACUAAAGACUUCCUCCCUGGCAACCAUCACAGAAAAUGGGAUACAUGGAGCAUCUUCAGGGAUGAUGUUGGGAAGAGCAGUGACUGAAAAUGGAAAAAAGCACUUCAGCCAGUGGACAUCAAAGACUUUGUUCGUGCGGAAGUAACUAAUAUUUAAUGAAAACAAUUUGAAGUCCAUCAAGAGGUCUGAGGUUGUUUUCAAACAAAUUGGCAUGUUUCCCAGGUUUUCUUCCUUUUUUGGCUUUAAGACUAUGUCUGCUAUGUUGCACUUAGGAUUCAUGAUUGCAGAUGGUGUUGGAAAGAAUUACGUAAUGCAUUUGGCCACAUAUUUUAACGACAUUCAGACAGCAGAAGCAGCCUGGCGUAGCUCCAGGAGGCGGGCCACAAUCAACAUUGUUGAAACGUUUCCUUAACGAAAACGGAAAUUAUGUCUGUUAUGGUGUUCAUAUCGGUUUUAAUAAAAAUACAUUUUCAUAUUAUU